Molecule: unclassified non-coding RNA, 210 nt
Filed under: soil metagenome
Description: partial contains small subunit ribosomal RNA, internal transcribed spacer 1, and 5.8S ribosomal RNA
Source: RNAcentral
UCUCCGUAGGUGAACCUGCGGAGGGAUCAUUAACGAGUUAGGGCCUCUGGCCCGACCUCCAACCCUUUGUCUCCAAAACCUCGUUGCCUCGGGGGUGGCCCUGCCUCACAGCGGGUCCCCCGGAGGACCACUAUAACUCUGCAUCUGAAUGUCGUCUGAGUAAGAUUUUUAAUGAAAUCAAAACUUUCAACAACGGAUCUCUUGGUUCUG